Molecule: non-coding RNA, 95 nt
Organism: Kwoniella shivajii
Lineage: Eukaryota; Fungi; Basidiomycota; Tremellomycetes; Tremellales; Cryptococcaceae
Source: the annotation of a RefSeq genome assembly
GCCCUUGUAGCUCAGUGGUAGAGCUUGCGACUUUUAGCUUGUAGCUUGUGCAACGGCUUAUCGCACGGUCAAGGGUUCGAUACCCUUCAAGGGCU